Molecule: ribosomal RNA, 235 nt
Filed under: uncultured Actinomycetales bacterium
Lineage: Bacteria; Bacillati; Actinomycetota; Actinomycetes; Actinomycetales
Description: partial 16S ribosomal RNA
Rfam family: Bacterial small subunit ribosomal RNA
Source: RNAcentral
UGGCGAACGGGCGAGUAACACGUGGGUGAUCUGCCCUGCACUUUGGGAUAAGCCUGGGAAACUGGGUCUAAUACCAGAUAGGACCAUGCUUUGGAUGGUGUGGUGGAAAGUUUUUUCGGUGUAGGAUGAGCUCGCGGCCUAUCAGCUUGUUGGUGGGGUAAUGGCCUACCAAGGCGUCGACGGGUAGCCGGCCUGAGAGGGUGUACGGCCACAUUGGGACUGAGAUACGGCCCAG